GGCACUAUGGCGGAGUGGUUAACGCGAUGCCCUGCUAUUUUAAAUCCCAAAUCGCAGAAAAUUAUCCUUUCCGUAGGGUUAGGUUUAGUUAAGGCAUUUCCUUCGGGAGCGCAGGUUCGAAUCCUGCUGGUGUCG
This is a transfer RNA of 135 nucleotides. It matches the Rfam family "tRNA". From Rfam's summary of the family: Transfer RNA (tRNA) molecules are approximately 80 nucleotides in length. Their secondary structure includes four short double-helical elements and three loops (D, anti-codon, and T loops). Further hydrogen bonds mediate the characteristic L-shaped molecular structure. tRNAs have two regions of fundamental functional importance: the anti-codon, which is responsible for specific mRNA codon recognition, and the 3' end, to which the tRNAs corresponding amino acid is attached (by aminoacyl-tRNA synthetases). tRNAs cope with the degeneracy of the genetic code in two manners: having more than one tRNA (with a specific anti-codon) for a particular amino acid; and 'wobble' base-pairing, i.e. permitting non-standard base-pairing at the 3rd anti-codon position. The record is from Rfam.